This 519-nucleotide ribosomal RNA is filed under the name uncultured Pseudomonadota bacterium. RNAcentral's name for it is "bacterial SSU rRNA". It matches the Rfam family "Bacterial small subunit ribosomal RNA", at positions 8 to 522 of the family's 1533-position model. The record is from RNAcentral. Lineage: Bacteria; Pseudomonadati; Pseudomonadota.
AGAGUUUGAUCAUGGCUCAGAUUGAACGCUGGCGGCAUGCCUUACACAUGCAAGUCGAACGGCAGCGCGGGAGCAAUCCUGGCGGCGAGUGGCGAACGGGUGAGUAAUAUAUCGGAACGUGCCCUGGAGUGGGGGAUAACUAGUCGAAAGAUUAGCUAAUACCGCAUACGAUCUAUGGAUGAAAGUGGGGGAUCGCAAGACCUCAUGCUCCUGGAGCGGCCGAUAUCUGAUUAGCUAGUUGGUGGGGUAAAAGCCUACCAAGGCCACGAUCAGUAGCUGGUCUGAGAGGACGACCAGCCACACUGGGACUGAGACACGGCCCAGACUCCUACGGGAGGCAGCAGUGGGGAAUUUUGGACAAUGGGGGCAACCCUGAUCCAGCAAUGCCGCGUGUGUGAAGAAGGCCUUCGGGUUGUAAAGCACUUUUGUCAGGAACGAAACGGUCUGGGCUAAUACCUCGGACUAAUGACGGUACCUGAAGAAUAAGCACCGGCUAACUACGUGCCAGCAGCCGCGGUA